UAUAAAAAGCAAACAUUUCUCACAGUUUGGAACAUUGAAGUCUGGGAUCAGAAUGCCAGCAUCAAUGAGCUUUGUGACACUUCUACCAGGUUAUGUCUUCCAUAUCCUUCAUUCAUGCAUGCCUGCAUAGCAAGAUCUUCUGUCUCUUCCUCUUUUUAGAAGAGUAUUAAUUUCAUCACAAAGGCCCCACCCUUGUGACCUAGUCCAAUCCUGAUUACCUCCCAAGACCAUACCUCUCAAUACAAUCACACUGGAGAUUAGAAUUUCAACAUGUGGACUUUGUGGGUCACGAACAUGUAAUUCAUAACACAGAGCUAUAACGGAACCAGAAAAUGUAGCACAGACCUGCAUAGCUUGAAGAGCAAGCUGGCAGGCAGACAGUAGAUCAAAAAUGUAUGCAUACCACCAGGCAGCAAAGCCAGUAAGCAAACCAAAGCAAAAGAACAAAGACCCCUGGUGGUGAUAGACAUCUUACUCAUGGUGCCAAUGCUUGUGUCUACCCAUAAGGAGCCAUACAGACCCCAACCCAAAGAUAGGGUUCUAAUGUCAAGACUGAUGAUAUCAUAUCCACAUGAAGAGUAGGUGAAAAUGUUUAUUACUUACCAAAUGAAGCUUUCUGGGGACAGCAAGUCAGAGUUCUCAAGGAAAUCCAAAAAUGGCUUCAGAAGGCCUUCAGACUCAAACUAGGAUUUAUACCAUUGACUGCCCUGAUUUUCAGACCUUAGAGUGUGUGCUAAAACUAUACCACCAGUUUCCUGGGUCUCUGGAUUGAGGAUGGCAGAUUGUGAAACCUCCAUAAUCAUACUGAAAUACUCUUCUGACAUGUCCUCGUUAUCCCUGAUUCAGGAAGCCAACUUUUUUCCCUCUUCACAAAUACACAUACUCUGUUAUUUCAGCUUUUGAAACCCAGCUUAUGCAUCAAAAACCAAGUAAAAGGUAAUUUCCAAGAAGUGUUCCUUAUGUUCAACAAUAAACAAAUAUUCCACUUCUGCAGCCAUAAUUUCAUUGUUUUUCUCUUAGUCUGCAAUGAAU
RNAcentral lists this long non-coding RNA (1032 nucleotides) under Mustela putorius furo (domestic ferret). Its description in RNAcentral is "lncRNA (ENSMPUG00000025953.1)". The record is from RNAcentral. Lineage: Eukaryota; Metazoa; Chordata; Mammalia; Carnivora; Mustelidae.